Molecule: non-coding RNA, 95 nt
Organism: Cryptococcus wingfieldii CBS 7118
Lineage: Eukaryota; Fungi; Basidiomycota; Tremellomycetes; Tremellales; Cryptococcaceae
Source: the annotation of a RefSeq genome assembly
AGUUCCAUGGCUCAGUGGUUAGAGUACCCGCUUUACAAAAUGACUGUCGACUUUGAAACCGCGGAUGGUCGAGGGUUCGAUCCCCUCUGGAACUA